UCCAAGAUAAUCCAGCUAACAUGUUUUCCUGCAACACUAAGCUAUGCCAACACAAAGCUAAGCUAAGGUCAUCUCAGACAAAAAGAGGAACCAAACUCCAGAACCGCAGGCCCCUCGUUGGCUCCGUGACAGGGACACGAUGGCGGAACGUGUGCGAUAUGUCGUCGGGCUCGGGACGGGGCGGCCUCCGUCCUCUCUGCGAGCUGACUGAUCACAUUAAUAUUAGCCGAAGCUCUUCUGUCAGCGAGGGGAGUUAUGGCCCGGCAAAAAGGGACCUCGGGUCGGAACGGGCGUCCGGUGACAGGGAGUCGGCUCGGGGGAUGAAUCCGAGGUGAUUGGACGUGAAGGGUCUUUGCUUUUCUAUCCAGCUCCUUUUCUUUGAGUAAUAAAACCUUUUUACCUUCUGAAUGUUCCUGUUUUCUGCUGAGUCAGUUCUGGAAACGAGAAGAGACAGAACAUCCUCGGUCCCCAACGAGGAUCGCUAACCCUCAGCACCUUAAGCUAGCAAAGGAACAUCCGAUGGAUUCCAUAAGGUUCCCUCCUGAGAUCCUCUGACACGUUUGAUCCAUGUGAAUCCCCCAACCCCAAAAUGAUCUACAACAUCUGCCGUUCUCCGUCCGAAAGGGAACGUUUUCCCUCUUCAGAUGUCGUCAUGUCUGAAAUUACUGAGCGCUCUCUUCAUUGUUCCACCGGAUUUGGUUUCUGGUCGUGUUCAGCCGUACCAAACGAGGGAAAGUUCUCAUCGUUCCCUGAUUUAUGGACGUUGUUCCGUGAGCUCCGAUGAGGUAACCGCUCCUUCAUCUUCAAUAUCACUGAGGUCGGGCUCUGAAACCCUUAAAAACCUUUAGCCCCGCCCCCAAAUUAGCUGG
This 869-nucleotide long non-coding RNA is filed under the name Takifugu rubripes (torafugu). RNAcentral describes it as "lncRNA (ENSTRUG00000033426.1)". The record is from RNAcentral. Lineage: Eukaryota; Metazoa; Chordata; Actinopteri; Tetraodontiformes; Tetraodontidae.